UAACACAUGCAAGUUGAAGGAGAAGUUCAUCUUCGGAUGGAUGGAGACUGGCGCACGGGUGAGUAACGCGUAGACAACCUGCCUAUAACAGGGGGAUAACCACCGGAAACGGUGGCUAAUACCGCAUGAUGCAGCGGGGCCGCAUGGCCACAGUUGUUAAAGCCUUCGGGCGGUUAUAGAUGGGUCUGCGUGCUAUUAGCUAGUUGGUAAGGUAACGGCUUACCAAGGCGAUGAUAGCUAGGGGGUCUGAGAGGAUGAUCCCCCACACUGGGACUGAGACACGGCCCAGACUCCUACGGGAGGCAGCAGUGAGGAAUCUUGCGCAAUGGGGGAAACCCUGACGCAGCCACGCCGCGUGCCGGAAGACGGCCCUAUGGGUCGUAAACGGCUUUUGUUUGGGAAGAAUGUACGGGUUUCGAUCUGUAUUGACGGUACCAAUUGAAUAAGCACCGGCUAACUCCGUGCCAGCAGCUGCGGUAAUACGGAGGGUGCAAGCGUUGUCCGGAAUCAUUGGGUGUAAAGGGUGCGUAGGCUGGUGUCUAAGUCUGGGGUGAAAUCUUGCCGCUUAACGGUAAAAUGGCCUUGGAUACUGGAUACCUUGAAUCUGACAGAGGUCGGUGGAAUUCGUAGUGUAGCGGUGAAAUGCAUAGAUAUUACGAAGAACAUCAGUGGCGAAAGCGGCCGGCUGGGUCAGUAUUGACGCUGAGGCACGAGAGCGUGGGGAGCGA
RNAcentral lists this ribosomal RNA (728 nucleotides) under uncultured bacterium. RNAcentral describes it as "bacterial SSU rRNA". It matches the Rfam family "Bacterial small subunit ribosomal RNA", at positions 49 to 771 of the family's 1533-position model. The record is from RNAcentral.